This 97-nucleotide small nucleolar RNA is filed under the name Macaca fascicularis (crab-eating macaque). RNAcentral's name for it is "Small nucleolar RNA U3 (ENSMFAG00000060679.1)". It matches the Rfam family "Small nucleolar RNA U3", at positions 1 to 97 of the family's 219-position model. From Rfam's summary of the family: Small nucleolar RNAs (snoRNAs) are involved in the processing and modification of rRNA in the nucleolus. Lineage: Eukaryota; Metazoa; Chordata; Mammalia; Primates; Cercopithecidae. The record is from Rfam by way of RNAcentral.
AAGACUGUAUUUUCAGGGAUUAUUUUUAUAGUUCAUUCCUAGAGAGCUUUCUCCGAAUGUGUAGAGCAUCAAAAAUCUUUAAGGAGGCUAGAGAAGA